UAAGGAAUAUUGGUCAAUGGGCGCAAGCCUGAACCAGCCAUCCUGCGUGCAGGAAGAAGGCCCUAUGGGUUGUAAACUGCUUUUGUCAGGGAAUAAACCUGUGGAUUUAUCCGCAGCUGAAGGUACCUGAAGAAUAAGCACCGGCUAACUCCGUGCCAGCAGCCGCGGUAAUACGGAGGGUGCAAGCGUUAUCCGGAAUUACUGGGUUUAAAGGGUGCGUAGGCGGCCCUGUAAGUCAGGAGUGAAAGUUUGCGGCUUAACCGUAAAAUUGCUUUUGAUACUGCAGGGCUAGAAUCAGGAUGAGGUCAGCGGAAUGUGGCAUGUAGCGGUGAAAUGCAUAGAUAUGCCAUAGAACACCAAUUGCGAAGGCAGCUGGCUAGACCUGCAUUGACGCUGAGGC
Molecule: ribosomal RNA, 400 nt
Filed under: uncultured bacterium
Lineage: Bacteria
Description: bacterial SSU rRNA
Rfam family: Bacterial small subunit ribosomal RNA
Source: RNAcentral